CCUACGGGGGGCAGCAGUGAGGAAUAUUGGUCAAUGGGAGAGAGCCUGAACCAGCAACGCCGCGUGAAGGAAGAAGGCUUUCGGGUUGUAAACUUCUUUUGUCAGGGACGAAGCAAGUGACGGUACCUGACGAAUAAGACACGGCUAACUACGUGCCAGCAGCAGCGGUAAUACGUAGGAGGCAAGCGUUAUCCGGAUUUACUGGGUGUAAAGGGCGUGUAGGCGGUACUGCAAGUCAGAUGUGAAAACCACGGGCUCAACCUGUGCCUUGCAUUUGAUACUGUAGUGCUAGAGUACUGGAGAGGCAGACGGAAUGCCUGGUGUAGCGGUGAAAUGCGUAGAGAUUAGGAGGAACACCAGUGGCGAAGGCGGUCUGCUGGACAGCAACUGACGCUGAGGCGCGAAAGCGUGGGGAGCAAACAGGAUUAGAGACCCGAGUAGUC
This 443-nucleotide ribosomal RNA is filed under the name uncultured bacterium. Its description in RNAcentral is "partial 16S ribosomal RNA". It matches the Rfam family "Bacterial small subunit ribosomal RNA", at positions 338 to 795 of the family's 1533-position model. The record is from RNAcentral.